Molecule: long non-coding RNA, 1627 nt
Filed under: Populus trichocarpa (black cottonwood)
Lineage: Eukaryota; Viridiplantae; Streptophyta; Magnoliopsida; Malpighiales; Salicaceae
Description: long non-coding RNA (PTRI_LNC002553)
Source: RNAcentral
GUGAUGAAUCCAAAAAACAUUACACAGAAGUGACCCAAUAUACACUCUCUACAUAGUUGUCCAUGGUAUUAUAGAUUUUUUACAUAAAAAUCAGAAGUUGAAUAAAUUCUUUCUUUCUCUCAGUAUUUGCUUACAUCCUCGGAACCACGUCUGUUUGUUCCUUAUUAAAGUCUUCCCUUCAUAUGUAGAAGAACAGUUCAACAAUGGACAGACUGCUUCAACGAAGUUCAAGAAGAUGAUGCAGAGGCAGAGGCUUGGUUGAAAGGAAGCUGCUCAGCACAGCUAAGCACGUCAUGAGACCCGGCUUCCUCUCUGCCAACACCCAUUAGGUCGAGAUAAUAUAGGUAAUGAGAGACAAUGUUGUUCAUUGACUCAUCAUCGCCUUUGCCGCAAACUUGAUCCCCAUACAGAACAUUCAUGGUGGUGCCAAAUCCAGGUACCCUCUUGGCCAAAGUGUCAUUCUUGGUAGGUUUCCAUUUGCCAACAAAUACAUCGUGUGCUGAAGGGAGAUGCUUCUUUUCUGGUGUCAUCCACUUCCAAAUAGCAGCCUGGAAAGCUAGUGUAGCAUUGUUUUCGAGGUAUUCUGGAUGGUUCAACAGAUCAGUCUUCAGGGCUUCCCCAGUUUUGCCAUAGUUGUAGUUCCUGUAAAUGGAAGCAGCAGAUACAAAAAUAAACGAAUGCUUGAGCUUGUGAGAAGACCGCCAGGUUAAUUAAACACUGUCAUGGUAGACAUACGCCAUCCAAAAUCUGAAGAUUACCUUUUGUACACUCAAAGAUUGAUUGUACAAAAUUUCUGCUUCAAGGUAGGUAGGUAGGUAGGUGGAACCUACUAUUCUUAGAAAAUACUACUUACCAAAGAAUUUACUUUAAAUAUACUACAAGAAAAUAUAGUCUUUUAAAUGUUUUCAUGGAAGUGAUAUUGCACGUGGAGGAUGGUUAAUGGAGAAUGAGUUUUGGAAUUUCCGAAUAUUGCUUUGAUGCCUUCUUACUGUUUGUAUUUAUCAAUUAAGUGAAUUCGAGGAGGGAAAUAUAGAAAUUGGUGUGGCAUGGGGAGCAUGGAUAGAUCAUCCAAGAUUAGAAGAUGUAUACCAGUAAAGAGGCAGCGCACCCCUGCCGUGAUACGAAACUCCGGGAGUGCAAGGAUAGGUGUACUUGUAGUAAUCAUCGCAGUAUGUCUUGCUGGGACUCAUUUCCUUGUUGUAGCACAAACCCCAUGCCAAUGGUCCUCCAGUGGCCACUCCAUAACCACCUGAAAUAAUCAUCACCGAUAAUAGCCUUCAAUUUUAUAUAUAUAUAAUGAGAGAACAAGCAUCAUCGAUCAAAACUACAUGUAUGAUUAUAUAUUAUCAUAAUAGAUCAACCCCAAUUUCAAAGGUGAACAUUUAUAGUAUUGAUUUUUCUCUUACUCACAUGAGGUUUUGCUUCCAACAUGCCCAAGGAAAGCAGCAACUUCCUUCUGCCCCGUAAGUUUCCCUCCGCUGGUACCAAAUCCAUGAGGCUGGUAUUCUGCAGCUGCAGUAAUAAAAGAAUGGUAAUCCCAAAAUCCCGAAGCAUGAGCCACAGGAGUGUUACGUUUCGAAAACAAGUUUUCGAACUGGUAGGUCUGGAAAAAAUCAGAAAUGGUUUG